GAUGAACGCUGGCGGCGUGCUUAACACAUGCAAGUCGAACGAGAAGUGGAGACGGAAACCUUCGGGCGGAAGACUUUACUUCGAGUGGCGGACGGGUGAGUAACGCGUGGGUAACCUGCCUCAUACAGGGGGAUAACAGUUGGAAACGACUGUUAAUACCGCAUAAGACCACAGCACCGCAUGGUGCGGGGGUAAAAACUCCGGUGGUAUGAGAUGGACCCGCGUUCGAUUAGCCAGUUGGCGGGGUAACGGCCCACCAAAGCGACGAUCGAUAGCCGAUCUGAGAGGAUGACCGGCCACAUCGGGACUGAGACACGGCCCAAACUCCUACGGGAGGCAGCAGUGGGGAAUAUUGCACAAUGGGGGAAACCCUGAUGCAGCGACGCCGCGUGAGUGAAGAAGUAUUUCGGUAUGUAAAGCUCUAUCAGCAGGGAAGAAAAUGACAGUACCUGAGUAAGAAGCCCCGGCUAACUACGUG
This 478-nucleotide ribosomal RNA is filed under the name uncultured bacterium. RNAcentral describes it as "partial 16S ribosomal RNA". It matches the Rfam family "Bacterial small subunit ribosomal RNA", at positions 28 to 507 of the family's 1533-position model. The record is from RNAcentral.